Ricinus communis (castor bean) is the source of this 2891-nucleotide long non-coding RNA. RefSeq lists it as uncharacterized. NCBI's taxonomy places the organism in Eukaryota, Viridiplantae, Streptophyta, Magnoliopsida, Malpighiales, Euphorbiaceae. The transcript has 2 exons. The record is from RefSeq and is a predicted model, not a curated record.
UUUCAUCUUGACAAUCAAAUUAAGAAGUGCUAAUUGCAUAUUUCAAGUAUCCUUUUUGUAGGAUUUUAACUUGAUGCUCAAAAGUCUUAGUAAUAUCUCUAUUGAAUGCUCGGUUCUACAAGAAAAGAUGAGAUAGGAGCAUUAGUAGGAGACCAACAUGCCGACUCCGAUGGUGAAGUUAGUAGGGAUUUAAGAGAGACAACAUAGAGUGGUUGAAAAUGUAAAUUAGGAUUGUCUUACCUUCCUUUUUGUACUUUUCUUAUUUAUAGAUGAAGGUUAUUAGUCAUUUUUCACAAUCUUUGGCAUGUUUAGUUCUUUCCCUAAGUAUGCUUGGUAGGCUUCUUACUCAUUAGUCGAGGUCUGUUAUUUCAUUUAAAGCACCUCCUCUCUUGUUUCUUUACUAACAGUUCUUUGUUUUGUUAUGAUAUUGUGGUUGGCUUUUCUUGUUUUCUCGCUGAGAUGCCAUGAUGUCAUUCCUGUAUUUGAUUAGUACGACGCACCAUUAUUGGUUAAUAAUUGCUAGUUUUUCAUCUUUAAAACACUAGUUGUUGCCUCUUGGGGGGGGUGGGUGUUAUCUCCUUUUUUACUUAUCUUUAUUGCAUUUCUUUUCCUUCGUUUGCUUAUCUCCAUUUUCUAGUAGUACGUUCCUACUCUUCAUUUUCGGCCACUAUUACUACCAUGAGUUCUAUAAGUAAGUUUCUUUUCUCCAUUUUGCAUCUACUUCUUCUUCUUUUUUUUAUCUAUUUUUUUAUUUUGAGUAUUUCUUUAAGUCUUUGCUUUCAUUGCUUCAUAGUACCGCUGAUUGGUGUUAGCAUUUUUUUGCUUUAAUGAAAGAUUCAUUAGGAAGCAUCCAAACUGGUGAUUUAGAUGGAAGGGUUUAUGAUGAUUAUGGGUUAGAGGUGAGUGACAGUGGGGUAGAUGACAAUAGGAACGACGAUCGGGAGGUCACAGGUGGUGAGAUUCACAUUUCUAUAGGUUCAGUGGUAGGGGUCGGUUGUUGGGUAAUAAAGGUUCUAGAUGUGAGUGGAGAGAAUGCCUCUGCUCAUUUUGAGAAUACUAUGCCAGUGGAGACUGUUUGGAGAGGCCAAUUUUCCUUUGGCCAAUUGCAGUUAUCUGACAGUCGUUGUAGAUCUGGGUCUCCACUUAGGUUUUCUAGAACUUGUGACACUCUCUCCACUCUCAAUGCCUCCUUUUUUAUUUAAAAUUCAUGCUCGUUAUGGGAUUCCCCUAGAGUAUGGCCUGUCUAUUUUUGCUAAGUUAAGGGUUUGUAAUCCAUAUAAGGAGGGUUCUAUAAUCGUUUACAAAGAAAGCUUGAAAAUUGAUCUCUAGUUUAUAUUGUCCUUUUUUAUUUAUGAUCUUUUAAAACUACAUGCUUGCAUGUACAUUAGAUCACCCCCAAUGGGUGGACCUUAAUCUGUUGUGCUAAGGUUUGUGAAAAAACUAGUGUUACUCCUAGCAUUAACGUCUUUCCACAUCUUUGGUUGCUCAUUCGCAAAAAAAGCACUAUCAUUUUUUUUGCCACUCUAGGUGUGUUACGUUGACCAGGCUUCCUAAGUCCCACCAUAUUUGGAAGCUUGAGUUUUUUGCUCCGAAGAAACCUGGUGGUUAGGCCAAUAUAUCCCAAUUAUGGAGUUUUGAGGUAUAUAAAGGUAGGGUUGAUGUAGAGUUAAGCCAAAGGAGACCGAUGGUCUCAGCCUAGUAUAUAGUAAAGCUUUGAUUGGGUUAUGACUUCGGGUAUUUGAUUGCUCAGCUGAUAGAGCAGAUUCCUGGUAUCUGCACUUGUUUCAUUGGUCUUCUUUUUUUCAUUUUAAUUUCUCUAUCGCUAUUACUAUCUAUCUCACUGUUAUUAUUUUUGUUAGCAAAGACCAGUCUUCAGCAGUUUAUGAACAACAUGAGAUUGUCUAAAAAGAAAGCUUCUUCUAAAGGUUGAUAUACUUCUAUAGAAAGCAGUCCUUCUCAUGUUUCCUAGAUUGGUCUCCCAGCAUCAGUCAUUACUGAUUCUGCCAGCGUUGCUGGAUUACUAGAUACUAUGAAUAUUCUCUCUUUGCCUUAGAAUAAAGCUAAGGGCAAGGAUGUCACCAUUAAUGUCUAAGAGAUCUGUUGAGUUUAGUCUUCCAUCCUUGAUGCGAUUAGAUUUUUCACGCUAUUCUCCCAAUAAGCAUGGUUCUCAUGUUCUUCUCUUUCUCCAUCAUGCAACAGUCUGUACCUUCCCUAGAGACCAAGACAUUUACUCUCAUAUUACCAUUGAAGAGGAGAAGAUGCAGCUGGUCCAUUUAAAUGCAGACUGGAUUUGCAAGUUUUAUAUGGAGCUACUUUUAAAGCAUAAUGAAUAUAAAAGAAUCAUUGUUGCUUUUGCCAUGGCCAGCAUUUCAUGGAUUAAGGCCGAGAAUGAGUUAUGCAACUGAAUGAUAUCUUUGGUGAUGGUAGAGAUUAAGGUUGCUCGCAUAGAAAGGGAGCUAGCUGAUUCUUAAAGGUUCAAGAGGCGCUUGAGGCUCAUCGCAAAGUAGACAAGGAGAAGUUCAAAUAGGAAAAUAGAGGAUCUGAUUGAUCAAUCCUUGGUGGUUAUUGAUAAUACUAAAGCGAAGAUAUUAGCAUGAGGUCUCACUUUCUAAAUAUGAACGUGUCAUUUUUAGAGGAGAGCGAUGCUAAGGAGGGUGAGGUCACCAUGGAGACUGAUUAGGCACGCCUUAUCUUUGAUCUGGCUUCCAACUCAUCUAUUGCACCUCCUUCGAUUGAUGACCUGCCAAAAGGCCUUAUUCCUGCUUGUAUUUGUUGUUUCUUUAACAUUUAUACCUCCUUUGUUUUGCUUCUUUUUCUAUAUAAACCAAUUUGCUUAUUAAUUUGAUGUCCUUUUCACACUUAUUAUUUAUUAUGGUGUAUUUUUUUUAUUA